CGGGUGAGUAACGCGUGGGUAACCUGCCUUGUACUGGGGGACAACAGUUAGAAAUGACUGCUAAUACCGCAUAAGCGCACAGUAUCGCAUGAUACAGUGUGAAAAACUCCAGUGGUACAAGAUGGACCCGCGUCUGAUUAGCUAGUUGGUAAGGUAACGGCUUACCAAGGCGACGAUCAGUAGCCGACCUGAGAGGGUGACCGGCCACAUUGGGACUGAGACACGGCCCAA
RNAcentral lists this ribosomal RNA (231 nucleotides) under uncultured bacterium. RNAcentral's name for it is "partial 16S ribosomal RNA". It matches the Rfam family "Bacterial small subunit ribosomal RNA", at positions 103 to 334 of the family's 1533-position model. The record is from RNAcentral.